AUGGAUCCUCAGAUACUUUACAGCCUCUUGCUUUCCCCAUCUUACCCCUCUCUGCUUCUCUCACUUCCCCAGUGGAGUCCAAAGGUCACCAUCGUUGCUGUGGCAGCCAUCUCAAACAGUGCUGCAGUCUCUCCCUCAUCCUCUUUCCGUGAUGAUUUCACCCGUUCUCUGUCCCCAGAAUGUAAAGUAUUUGGGUUACCAAAGGAGGAGAUGAACCAUUCCAUAGUAUACAGCAGCAACGUAUACAACGUUGGAAAGUUUGCAGAGAAAAUUCCCAGGACAUUUUCUGGCAAUACGCAGGCUUGGAUACAUCAUUCUGGGGAAAAAGUUCUCCAACCCAAGAUGGAAAAGCUAAUGUAUUAGUUAAGGCACUCCCUGGAUUAACAAGCUUCAAAUUCUGGGCAAGUGCCCUAACUUGUGGCUUACUAUUUUGGUGAGUGGGAAUGUCGGUCUGUCUCUUACAUGAGCGGUAUGGUAUUUUGUGCCUUUAUUCCAGCUCUGUAAAACUCUUCGUACUUUUUUAACGUAGAGUUUAUUUAUGCAAAAGAACAGUGCAAUUGACUUCUACAGGUUUUAAAACACCUUAGAUAUUCCUAUAUCUUCUUCCAUGUGCGAAGCGUAUUUCUCUGGCCAAGCUUUCUUUAACAUAGACAGAGAGACAGAGAAGACAUUUGUGAAAAGACCCUGUUCUAGUGUGACGUGGCACUGUGUCCUUCAUGAGGACAGUGUAGUGUUUAUUUAGAAGGAGAUGAGGCUACACAAUAUAUACACAGUUCCAAAGACUGAUAAAUAGUAAUAUGGUUCAUUUUGUUCAGUUCACUGGCUGUUUAACUUUUAUCCUAUGUAUCCUCAUAUAACCCCUGGUAUGGCAUGGAUUCCAGUAUAACCACAGUUGAAAGUCAUUUAGUUGUUAUGUGAUCCAAAACACAUAUAGUGUUCCAAGGAACUUCCUAUGAUGUCUUCACACAUUUAGAGGCAGUCCUUGGAUUUGAAGAGAAGAACUUAUUUAUCCAUGACUCUGCUACUAUAUCGUGAGUCUCCAAAUAUUCCUUUGUCAGGAAAAAGCUUUUAGCUUUUUAAUAACAUCUCAUGGAAGUAUCUAUUCACCAACUUUAAAAAAAAUUGCAUGUGAGACUUGCUGAUCACUGUAAUUUAUUGAAAUGAGUCUGAUGUUUUUUCUUCUCACAUUUCAGUGUUUUAAUCCUGACUUGCUUGUUAAUUCUCCUAUUUCUUCAUGUCACGUAAAAAAACAUCUUUCAGUACUUCACUGUCUUGUUUUUUAAUUUAUAUUCCAGAGAGCUGAUGGAUGCCCAUGAUUUUCACUGUGGGGUGGUACACAAAUGUUACACUGCAGGAUACAUUUAUCAGCUUGAAUUUUAGGACAGAAAACACUGAAACUGCAUGAACCUGCGUAAUAAUUUAAUUGUCUUCAGUACCUUAAAUUCUGAUGAACACGCUCCUCUUUCUUUCUGCAGGUGUUCAUAGAUUUUUCAAGCAGAAGUAGUGAAUUACAAAUAUAAGUGGACUCUGCAAGUGAAUAGAGUCUACAUCUACGAUACACUGAGCCAAAAUUUUCAAAAAUGGUCUGGCAGUACCCUGGACCUGAGCAACACAAUUUUGGAUAUCUGAUUUAGGCAGGAGCUGAUUUGCCCUCUAAUUCCCACUGAAAUCAAGAGGAUUUCAAUCUGAAAUUUGAAGAUGGUUGACUAGUUCAUUGCACACAUUGCAAUAAUAAAAGCCACACAUGCCACA
This 1752-nucleotide long non-coding RNA is filed under the name Calidris pugnax (ruff). RNAcentral's name for it is "lncRNA (ENSCPUG00000010893.1)". The record is from RNAcentral. Lineage: Eukaryota; Metazoa; Chordata; Aves; Charadriiformes; Scolopacidae.